UAAAGAACAUAUUUGUGAAAGCCAAAAAUGAAAAUAUAACUUGUCAUUGCUGCAAUAAAUUAGGACAUAAAGCAUAUGAAUGUAAUUAUAGAAAGUCUAGCUACAACAAAUUGAGUAAUAAUUAUAAGCUAAAAUCUAAAAAAAUUUGGGUUCCAAAAGGAACAUCAAGUACUAACCCUAAAGGACCCAACAUAGUUUGGGUACCUAAAGCAUAUUCUUGAUCUUGAUUGCAGGGGUGUCUUGCAGCUAAUAAGGUGGAUAAACGAUGGUAUCUAGAUAGCGGCUGUUCAAGACACAUGACAGGUGACGUAGAACAAUUUGUCAUCUUGGAAUCUAAGAAGGGUGGAGUGGUAACCUAU
RNAcentral lists this long non-coding RNA (359 nucleotides) under Phoenix dactylifera (date palm). RNAcentral's name for it is "long non-coding RNA (PDAC_LNC012399)". Lineage: Eukaryota; Viridiplantae; Streptophyta; Magnoliopsida; Arecales; Arecaceae. The record is from RNAcentral.